CCUCCUUUCUUUCUCAGCUAACGAUUUGGUCAAUCAUUCAAUAGCCUCCAUGAUCUAUUUUCAACAACUACCGAGGCACAAGUAUAAUUUUUUUUUAUUUUUGCUUGAAGGAAAAAUGUACGGUAUAUCUGUUUGCAUAUGCGAACGGACGGUGAUUGGCACACACAAAGAACCCCACCCCUCACCCAUAAGGUGAUUGGC
RNAcentral lists this long non-coding RNA (201 nucleotides) under Elaeis guineensis (African oil palm). Its description in RNAcentral is "long non-coding RNA (EGUI_LNC016517)". The record is from RNAcentral. Lineage: Eukaryota; Viridiplantae; Streptophyta; Magnoliopsida; Arecales; Arecaceae.